AGCUUUCCUUCCCUUCAUUAAGGUACUACGACUCACCACAACAUGGUCGCCGGCUGCUGCACCAACGAGGUGACGGUCAACGUCAGCGUCCACAGGAUGUGGAAGGCGGCCGCCUGCGAGGAUCACAUCCUGCUGCCAAAGAUCAUUCCUCAGUACUUCGCUGGCGCAGAGCUCGUCGGCGAUGGCGAAGCUGGCAGCACAAAGACCUUCCACUUCACUCCAGGUUUAGAUUUUGAUGCUGCUUUCCGACAUUCGUGUGCGUGCGAGAAGAGAUCGCAAAACAAGGAUAAAAAAUAAUCUCACAUCGAUAAAAAGAAUCGGAUGAUACAUAUCGAAACCUUUUUGGUUGAAUUGAUGUAUGAUCUGUUAAUUGGAACUAAUUUGGCUAUUGUUGCGAUCCAUCGAACUGCAGCCGCAGAGCCACUGACCUUCGUGAAGGACCAUGUUGAGGUGUUGGACCACGGAAGCCACACGAUGAGGUACAAGGCGAUCGAAGGAGGUCACCUCGGCCGCACGCUCAAGUCGCACGCGUUCGAGGUCAAGUUCGAAGCGGCGGGCGCCGACAGCUGUGUCGUGAAGACCAAGACAGAAUACGAUACGAUCGACGACGCGCCGCUGCCGGAGGACGAGGUGCAGAAGAUGACGGACGUGCCAGUACGGAUGAUGAAGUCGGUGGAAGCCUAUCUGAUAGCCAACCCCGGUGUUUGUGCCUGAGCCCCUGAGCCUCUGAGCCGGUGGGCUUUCGUGUACCGACGUUGGUGCUUCCAGUGUCGUAGUGCUUGUCAUUGGGCGUGGAUCAAUCAAUAAUGAGGUGAUGCAGCAGUGCUGGAAUCAUCACCUUUAGAGUGAGAGAGUGAGAGAGUGAGAGAGAGAUAGGACAUGACAUGUUGAUGCCAUCUCUCUCUUUGUCUGUUCUUUCCAUCUUCUGCAAUGUGGUGUUUUGUGUGGUCGUUGAAGGACAUAUAUCUACAAAUAAGAUGUGAUUUCUUUGGUAUCAUGUAAUCCUUCUUUUUUGGUAUCAUUCUUAGUAGUCUCUUUUAAAGAUUCAAAGACUAGCGUAAUCCAAAUUAAACAUGGAUUUAAUUGAUUUUACUUAAACUAUAUGAUACGUUUAUAAUGUUUGUUCGUAACGAGUCAACCUUCUCGUAAUUUUAUUUACUCUCAUCCAUAAAUAAAUCAGUUACCGAUAAAUGAAUGCAUGAACAAACAAAUCGAUGUCACCUUAGUAAAAUAUACCUUGGGAUUAUAUAACUAAAAUUGAACAAAAUACCUUCUUAGACGACUAAAAUGGAUGCAUUUUGCUGAAAGAUUUUACGAUAAAAAAUUGAAGGUUAAUUCGUCGUCCAUAAAGUUUAAGUACAUAAGUGAUAGGUUCAUCCAUCGUCCAUAAAGUUUAAGUACAUAAGUGAUAAAACUUCAUCCAAUCUUAUGUUUGUUCAAAAUUUAUAUAAUUAAAUUUGAACAAAAUAUCUUACUAAAAUGGAUGCAUUUUGCUUGCUCUGAAAAAAUUUUACGAUAAAAAAUUGAAGGCUAAUCCAUCGUCAAUAAAAUUUAAGUACAUAAGUGAUAACGUAUCUUAGAACUUUCAUCCAAUCUUGUGUCGGUUCAAAAUUAAAUGUUAACAUGACAUGAGAUUUGACGUAAUAGUGAUGUGACCUUAUCUACAAACUCGAUAGAAACAAAUUAAUUCUUCUAUUUUUUAAGAUAAAUACUGGUAAUACGGCAACAUCAAAAAUAUUAUAUCGUACAAUUUGGUUCUUCCUCUUAGUUUCAAACAUGAAGCUCCACAAAGACGGCAAUAAAAUAAAAUUAACGAAGAAAAAUGCAACACGACAUCAACUCAUCGUGAUCUCACUCACCCUAACAAAGAAUAUAAUAAUAAACUACACCGUUGAAUGAACUGUUAAUUCUUUCAUUAAAUGCAUGAAAUACAUUUAUGGUGAAACUUUGUUUCUAACAUACAUACAUACAUACAUACAUACAUACAUACAUAUUUUAAUCUGACUAGCAUAUGCUUGAAGAAUCCGAUCAUUCUCGACUACGGCUGAUGAUGAUAUGGGGCUGCUCAACAAUGAAGACCGCAAAGUCUGCAUGCUUGUGAGCUUUGAAGUCUUCGCUUCAGUCAACAAAUACUAGCUAGUUUGAAUGCUUCCAAGUUUACCAUGACACCCACUUCUUAGAACAUUGAAUUGGGAUGAGGAUGCCAACAAGAGAAGAUGAACCGAUUCAUUGGCAUGGAGCGAUCUUCGCGUCAUCUCAGACCCCCCCCUUUUUCCAAUCUAAUCGAUGAGGUUACCUAAAGUUCAAACUUCAUCUGGAAGCCCGAGAUGACCCGGCACUCCAUCGCCGUCUAUAAAUGGACUCUUCCCCUUCCCUUCACCACCAACCCAUCACAGCCUGCAGAGCUCUCAUCCGGCAAAACACCUUCAUCGACGCCAUGGUUGCCGGGUGCUGCACCGAAGAGCUGACGCUCAAUGUCAGCGUCCACAGAGUAUGGAAGGCGGCCGCCUGCGAGGAUCACAUCCUGCUGCCAAAGAUCAUGCCGCAGUACUUCUCCGGCGCCGAGCUCAUCGGGGAUGGUGAAGCUGGCAGCACCAAGAUCUUCCACUUCGAUCCAGGUUUGGAUUCACAUCACCAAUGCUUCUUUCAGGUAACAGGAAGAUCCGUAAACUAUGCUGAUUUCAACUGGCAAUUCUGUGGAUGAGACUGCAGGUAUGAAGCCACUGAUCUUCGUGAAGAACCAUGUCGAAGUGCUGGAUCAUGGGAGCCACACCUUGAAGUACAAGACCGUCGAGGGAGGCCACCUCGGCCACACGCUCAAGUCGCACACCAUCGAGCACAAGUACGACGCCUUGAGCGCCGACACCUGCUCUCUGAAGAUCAAGGUGGAGUAUGAUACCAUCGACGACAAGGGGCUCCCCGAGGAGGAGGUGAACAAGAUCAAGGAGGGGUCGGUAUGGGUCGCCAAGGCUGUGGAAGGUUACCUGACCACCAACCCCGCUGCUUAUGCCUAAGCCUCUGGAAACUAUCCGUAUUGUCUGUCAUGUGUGG
This 3051-nucleotide long non-coding RNA is filed under the name Musa acuminata (dwarf banana). RNAcentral describes it as "long non-coding RNA (MACU_LNC004915)". Lineage: Eukaryota; Viridiplantae; Streptophyta; Magnoliopsida; Zingiberales; Musaceae. The record is from RNAcentral.